CAUGUGCCCAUCUUCACCAU
This 20-nucleotide small nuclear RNA is filed under the name Arabidopsis thaliana (thale cress). RNAcentral's name for it is "snRNA_13186". Lineage: Eukaryota; Viridiplantae; Streptophyta; Magnoliopsida; Brassicales; Brassicaceae. The record is from RNAcentral.